CCUCCUUUCUAAGGAUAUUGACAUUUGGUUCGCUAAGUGUCCGGGUUGUUGUCUACUUAUCUCUUUAUAAUAUUAGCUAGUGCUAGGUGUUUCCUUUAUCAAACUGGGCCGGUAGCUCAGUUGGUUAGAGCGCGCGCUUGAUAAGCGUGAGGUCGGAAGUUCAAGUCUUCCUCGGCCCACCAUUAAAACGGGGGGAUUAGCUCAGCUGGGAGAGCGCCUGAUUUGCAUUCAGGAGGUCAGCGGUUCGAUCCCGCUAUCCUCCACCAAACUUCUAAUAUUAUAUCUUAUUUGUUCUUUAAUAUUGUGAAUAUGAAUUUAAUAACUGAUCAAAAUAAUUUUAUUAUUGAUUAAAAUACGUACAAAAUUUUUCUCUGUACGUAAUUGCAAUCAAGCGCAAAAGGGCAUUUAGUGGAUGCCUUGGCAUCAAGAGA
Molecule: unclassified non-coding RNA, 431 nt
Filed under: uncultured Alphaproteobacteria bacterium
Lineage: Bacteria; Pseudomonadati; Pseudomonadota; Alphaproteobacteria
Description: partial 16S-23S ribosomal RNA intergenic spacer
Rfam family: tRNA (bases 106-179)
Source: RNAcentral